Callithrix jacchus (white-tufted-ear marmoset) is the source of this 2384-nucleotide non-coding RNA. The record is from RefSeq and is a predicted model, not a curated record. NCBI's taxonomy places the organism in Eukaryota, Metazoa, Chordata, Mammalia, Primates, Cebidae.
GCUGGCUACAUAUCUGUCUCUGGAACAAUAGGUACCUGUAUUCUGCACGGACUGCUGGGCAGCACUAGCACUCUGGAGAAGGUCUGCCUCUGUCUGCACUUUCCUGGUUCUAUGCAGGCAGAUGAGUGUCACAGCUGUAACUGAGGCACAGAACAGUACACAGUGUGGAGCCGAUUUCCGCGAUGGCGAGAGGGGGCAUCAGAGGUGACAACAAUAACAAGACCGUCCUUCGGACAAGUUUUAGAUUCUCAGGAUGAUGGAGUGAGUGAUGGAGUAGGUUGCCAACUGUAGUUGCUCCACUCAGCACAGAAUGGCUGCGGGGAAAUAGAAUCAGACAUGCCCAAAGAAUCUGCUCAGGGUGAAACAAAUACCUUUGAGGUUUAAAUCAGAAAGGAAGGAGAGGCUGUUUCUACAGGUGUCAUAGAAAAAUCAAUACUGAGCCAUGGAUUAUUGGAUCCCAUAGAACCAUGGAGACUUGGCAGUGAAAUUCUUUCAAAGGCAGACGGUGUUCCUAGGUUUGGAAAUAUAAAUCCCAUGGGAAGUCAGCUGAAGAACAUUUUAUGCAUCACUCAUCCUGUUAUGAGCCCUGUGCUGUUCCCUCUCUGUACAAGACUGGCUGACACCACAAGAGUUGUUUAUAUUUUGUACUGAUCACCUAGUUAAUACUCUGACUCUGAUUCAUACCAAAGACAGUGUUUUAUAAAAGAGAUUCUCUGUUAGAUGGAUGCUCCUGCAUUAUUAAUAAAAUCACAGGGAAAAUGCGACAUUUUGGAUGUCACAUCUGAUAAGGUAAGAUUUUAUCAUGGCCCAUAAGAUGUGAUUUUACUUAUGACUAUCCCAGGCCCAUGAAAGUUUUCAUUUAUCCAUUUGAUAUAGAAAUCUAUAAUAUAAGCCUUCAUAUACAUUAUUUAAACUGUGACCUAAAAGCCGGGCUACUGAAUGUAUUUUGUUUCUGUGUAAGUCACAUUAUUUUUUACUGUUUUUUUCAUCCUUUGCAGCUUAGAAAACUAUAACUCAAUACAUCAUGCAGCAUAUUUAAAUUAAAAUAUAAAUUGUGUAUAUCAUUAUUCUUGGGGGGGGGAACGAGAAAGGCAUGCUUCUCUGUAACCCUGGACAAAGUUUGCCUUUUGAUGUGUGAAUUCUUAAAUGUGCACAAACCAAAGACAAUGGUAUACAUACUUUGACACGUUCUGAAGUUAAAAGAGGACAUGAGGAUUGUGUGAUAAGUGGCAGCCUUGUGUCUACUAUUGUAAUAAUAUGAUGUCUGCAUAAGAAGAAAAAAAAAGUACAAAAAACAAUGGCGAGAUGAUGGAGAAGCUGAACAUAAGUAAAGUUCCAGUUGGCAGUUAAAGAACAGAAACACAGCAAUAAGACUGAGUGGCUACGUUUUCCCAGUGCCACCAACUGGGAGUUAAGCUGACUAACAUUUUGAAAGCCCAGCCCAUUUCAUUCACAGCAGGAUGGCAGUGGGUGACUGAUUGUACCCGCCAGCUGGCUAAUGUCAUAAUUAACAAAGUUGCUACUACAUCUGCAAAGUUUAAUCGAAAAAUUUGCCAGUGAUAUGAUGGCAUUGUCUCAGAGAUCACAAGGGACAUGGAGUCGACUUUUGCUCAAGGUGGAACGACAGAGCUGUGUAGGCAAGAUGAGAAAUUGUGAACUUGUUCGGCCAAAGGAGGCUAAUAAUGAAGGGGCCGGGAAGGAGGCCAGUGCUACCAGGGUUAUCUCACAACCUCAGAUGCUGGAUAAGGCGAAGGAGCAGAAUCGCUUUGGGAUGGCAUUCAGAAAGGCUGGAGUGAUUACUUGGAAGAGAAAAGCCUACCCAUUCUUUCCAAGGUGCAGGAAUAUUCCCUUGACCUGCUCAUCCAAUGGUCCAGUAAUGAAUUACUAGAGACCUGCCUUAGACAAAGAAUGCACUCGGAGCCCCACCACACCUAAAGCCACGCUUUGAAGGACCUGCCAAGCUCACUUUUAAUCAUGAGAAAGAAAUUACCCACACGGAGUCAGCAGAAAAUGAGAAAGUAGAGCUCGUGCUGUGAAUAAUUCCAGCAAGUGCCAAGGGGCUAGCUGAGGAAUGGCUUUCAUGAGAUGUUAGUCUAAAACUGCACCUUGGAUCUAAGCAGCACCUUUGAGAAAGAAAAGACUCCUUCAAGAAUGUCUAGUUGCACCUCCUUUCCAUAUUCGGCCUAAAUGCCUAGGUUGGAUCAAUAGUUUAAUUUUUGUAUUGAACUGUUUAAUGUUGACUAUGGACCUAUAUUCACUUUUACUGUUUCCUGUGUAUUUAUUUUUGCUUGAAUUGUUUUAAUAUUGACUAUUUGCCUUUACUCAUUUUUAUUGAUUUUUGGUAUUUUUUUCAAUGAAAAUCAUAAUAAAAAUUAUUUUUGUUA